Molecule: long non-coding RNA, 1880 nt
Organism: Anser brachyrhynchus (Pink-footed goose)
Lineage: Eukaryota; Metazoa; Chordata; Aves; Anseriformes; Anatidae
Source: Ensembl
GAAACCAGUGUUCAUGUAAGGUGAAGUAGGUAGCGCAUAAAUGUAAGUUAAGAUGCUGCAGCAGCAUGGAGGCAAAAGCUGUAUUUUAAAUACAUUUAGAAGAAAACACACACUUUCCCAGAACCAUGUCCCACUGGAUAUAGAAUAUCUCCAAGGAGGGAGAUUUGAGACCCUCUCUGGGCAACAAGUUCCAGUGUUUGACCACCAAAACAGUAAAAUAAAUAAAUAAAUAGAAUGAUGGAUAAAUAAAUAAAAAUAUAAAUAAAUAAAUAAAUAAUCAAGAAAAAAGUCGUAUAUUUAAGUAAAUUUUUUUUUCUUUUUCUUUUUCUUUUUUUUUCUGCUGUGGCCAUUGUCUCUUGCCCUGUCAUUAGGCAAUACUGAGACGUAGUGCUUUCUGAAGUCUGGCCUUCCCGUCUUCAUUCCCUCCCAUCAGGUAUUUGUAUGCGCUAAUAAUAAUUCCCAGAACCCUUUUUCUCUACAGGCUGAACAGUCCCAGCUCUCUCAGCCUCUCCUCAUAUGGAAAAAGCUUCAGGUCCUUAAAUCAUAUUUGUGUUCCUUAACUGGACUUACUCCAGUAAGCCCAUAUCCUUCUUGCACUGAGGAGAUUACAACUGGACAUAGCACUUAAGAUGUGUUUCACCGGUGCUGAGUAGAGGGAGCACUGAUCACCUCUCUUGAUCUGCUGGCACUGCUCUUCUAUAUACAGUGCAGGAUGCUGUUGGCAUUCUUUUCUGUGCGGGUGCAUUGCAUAUCGUCAGUUUGAUGUUUACCAGGACUCCAAGAUCCUCUCUCCAGAUCUGCUUUCCAGCUGGUCAUGUACAGGAGCUUGGGGUCAUUCCUCUCCAGGUGCAGGACUUUCUCCUUGAAUGUUAAGACACUCUCUUCAGUCCAGUUUUUCAGCCCAUCAACAUCCCUCUAAAUGGCAGCAUGACCCUCCGGCAUAUCAGACUCAAUUUUGCACUAUCUGCAAACUUGCUGUUGGAACACUCUGGUGCAAUGGAACACUCUCUUCCAUUGUUCAAGUCAUUAAAGAAGGCAUUAAAACCUAUUGGGCCCAGUAUCAACCUCUGGGUGGCACCAGUAUCAACCCCUGGAGUACACUACUUGUGACCUUGAGAUGGCGGCGACCGGAGGCUCCGGAGGCCACUGAGGGUUCUGAUCCAUCAGCUCACCGCCAUCACGGCAUCUGAGACUUUAACAGACCACAAAAUGUCACAGCAUUCUCCACAAAAUGAACAGAGAAGAAGCAAAGAUACACUGGCACCCUCGAGAAAUUACAUUCAUCCCUGGUAUUGGUACUGACUGGAGAUCACAUCUUCAUGGGAUAUGAAGAACGUGAUUGGUGCUCUUGGGUUUUAUGGUUACUUAAGUUUGCAGAGACUAUUAUCUGUCAAGUAACAUUGCAGUUUAAACUACUCUGUUUCAACAGAAUUUGUAACCUUGGGUUUUAAACCAAUCGUUAGCAUGCUGUGUAUUUUGCCUGCACCUUCCACAGUGGCAAACAUUGUACAGAGUGUUUAUAUGGAGCUUUAGUGUUCUUUUCCAUAGUGCAUACAGUGCAGAUAUUAAAUAAUUACUUGAUCUCCUUAAGUAUACUAGGCAAAAUUCCACUCUCCAAUACACAAUCAAAACUUUCAUUGAUUGCAGUCUUUGUAGAUUCAAUGGGAGUUGAGUCCAGACUUUGUAUCUGAAGGUAGAAUGUGACCCACAUUCUUCCAUUAACUGGCCUUAUCCCGUACAGUUCUUUAUCAAGUUCAAGGUAAAAAAAAAAAAAAAAAAAAAAAAAAAAAGAGAGAGAGAGAGAGAGACAGACAGACAGAUUAAUGGAUAGAGAAAGAGACAGUGAGAAAUAAAGGGCUCUUAGAGAUUUCUGAUGAGCA